RNAcentral lists this unclassified non-coding RNA (382 nucleotides) under uncultured fungus. RNAcentral describes it as "partial contains small subunit ribosomal RNA, internal transcribed spacer 1, and 5.8S ribosomal RNA". The stretch from base 1 to 73 matches the Rfam family "Eukaryotic small subunit ribosomal RNA", at positions 1759 to 1831 of the family's 1831-position model. Lineage: Eukaryota; Fungi. The record is from RNAcentral.
ACAAACUUGGUCAUUUAGAGGAAGUAAAAGUCGUAACAAGGUUUCCGUAGGUGAACCUGCGGAAGGAUCAUUAACACGAAUUUAUUAUCCAAUAUCAAAACCAAACGUGAACUUAUCUUCUCCCUACAUUUAUUAAUGUAGGCUAACCUUCAUAUCUAUAUAUAUAUAUAUAGAAAUGAACACUUAAAUUUUUAACCCCUUUAACUUUAACUAGUUUUCAACAUUCAUUUCUAUGAUACUUGAAGACAACUAACUAAAAGAAAAACUACAAGGUUAUUCGGAAAGAGCAACUCUUGUAAUUUUCGUUUCGAUCUACGAAAAAAUACAAUGAACAACUCUUAACAAUGGAUAUCUUGGUUCUCGCAUCGAUGAAGAACGCAGC